UGGGGAAUAUUGCACAAUGGAGGGAACUCUGAUGCAGCGACGCCGCGUGAACGAAGAAGGCUUUCGAGUCGUAAAGUUCUUUUAUAUGGGAAGAUAAUGACGGUACCAUAAGAAAAAGCCCCGGCUAACUACGUGCCAGCAGCCGCGGUAAUACGUAGGGGGCUAGCGUUGUCCGGAAUCACUGGGCGUAAAGGGUUCGCAGGCGGAAAUGCAAGUCAGGUGUAAAAGGCAGUAGCUUAACUACUGUAAGCAUUUGAAACUGCAUAUCUUGAGAAGAGUAGAGGUAAGUGGAAUUUUUAGUGUAGCGGUGAAAUGCGUAGAUAUUAAAAAGAAUACCGGUGGCGAAGGCGACUCUCUGGUCUGUAACUGACGCUGAGGCUCGAAAGCGUGGGUAGCAAACAGG
Molecule: ribosomal RNA, 403 nt
Filed under: Bacteroidota bacterium
Lineage: Bacteria; Pseudomonadati; Bacteroidota
Description: Bacteroidetes bacterium partial 16S ribosomal RNA
Rfam family: Bacterial small subunit ribosomal RNA
Source: RNAcentral